AUUAUUUAGAGAAUGAAUUUUUCUUUUCUAUUUAGUUAGUGUGGCAGAGUUCAUGUAUUGCCACACAGCACAGAAAAACUGUUACUGUAUUUUAUGCUUCAGAACAGAAGUAUGUUACUGAAUUAAUAUAAGGCAAAUUUCUUUUGUAAUACAGCUUGUGUUGUCUGGUAAUCAUGGUUUACAAAAAGUUUCAAAUUUUUUUUUUCUUCUUGUUUCUUUGGAUUGUUUUAGUGAUAUUUUUUUCUUUUUUUUAUUAGCAAUGCUGUACCAUAUUAAGUCACUUCUUCGUGCAUGAAAGAAAUGGUGUAAACUUGAAUACAAAUCCAAAAUUAAGAUCCUUAUCAGAGCAAAAUUAGAGCAACAAAAUAAAACCACACUACUAAAGCAGAGCUUCCCAAACUUACUCUGCUGAAGUUCAGGCCCUGGCAUUGAUGAUUAAAAGGCCAUUGUUCAAUUUCUUCAGAUUAUCUGUAAAUUUUCAAUAAUGGCAAUACAUUCAUUCUGCCAUUUGGAGGAGCCUGUGCCACAGAAUAAUGAUGUGAAGAAAGCUCACUUAUUUGCAAGGAAGAGUCCUCAUUUGGGAACAGUACAGCUGCAACUAAGAGGUGCUUUGUCAAGUUCAGAAUUUCUGAAAGUAUUCAGCUCUGCUGAAUGCUAA
This 658-nucleotide long non-coding RNA is filed under the name Calidris pygmaea (Spoon-billed sandpiper). RNAcentral's name for it is "lncRNA (ENSCPGG00000009509.1)". The record is from RNAcentral. Lineage: Eukaryota; Metazoa; Chordata; Aves; Charadriiformes; Scolopacidae.